AAUUCGUGGUGCAGGCAUUUUUGAAUCAAUAUUUUGAAAUGUUCCCAUUCCUCAUAGAAAAUUUCUUCCUCAAUCUGUCUAAGACAUCAAUAUCUCGUCUAAGCU
Molecule: small nucleolar RNA, 105 nt
Filed under: Gossypium hirsutum (cotton)
Lineage: Eukaryota; Viridiplantae; Streptophyta; Magnoliopsida; Malvales; Malvaceae
Description: Plant small nucleolar RNA R71
Rfam family: Plant small nucleolar RNA R71
About the family: R71 is a member of the C/D box family of snoRNAs containing the C (UGAUGA) and D (CUGA) box motifs. Multiple nearly identical copies of this snoRNA have been identified in Arabidopsis, and it is thought to function as a 2'-O-ribose methylation guide for 18S ribosomal RNA.
Source: Rfam by way of RNAcentral